GACGAACCGUGCAAACGUUGUUCGGAAUCACUGGGCUUAAAGGGCGCGUAGGCGGGCAAGCAAGUCGAAGGUGAAAUCCCCACGGCUCAACCGUGGAAGUGCCCCCGAUACUGCUUGUCUUGAGGGAGAUAGGGGCGUGCGGAACUUCCGGUGGAGCGGUGAAAUGCGUAGAUAUCGGAAGGAACACCGGUGGCGAAAGCGGCGCGCUGGAUCUCUUCUGACGCUGAGGCGCGAAAGCCAGGGGAGCAAAGCGGG
RNAcentral lists this ribosomal RNA (255 nucleotides) under uncultured bacterium. Its description in RNAcentral is "partial 16S ribosomal RNA". It matches the Rfam family "Bacterial small subunit ribosomal RNA", at positions 524 to 777 of the family's 1533-position model. The record is from RNAcentral.